AAAAUUGGGCCUGUUCAGAGGAGACACAAUGAUCACGAAAGUGGUUUUCCCAGGACGAAGCUUAUCCAUUACACUCCAGAUGUGCUAACCCCUGAGAUUUCCCCAAAAGUGGGAAAACUUGACUGCAUGAUUUGUGGUGGUGGGGGGGAACUUGUGUUCUCACUCUCCCUGC
Molecule: small nuclear RNA, 172 nt
Organism: Sorex araneus (European shrew)
Lineage: Eukaryota; Metazoa; Chordata; Mammalia; Eulipotyphla; Soricidae
Product: U1 spliceosomal RNA
Exons: 1
Source: RefSeq, a predicted model, not a curated record